Molecule: long non-coding RNA, 1552 nt
Organism: Anser cygnoides (Swan goose)
Lineage: Eukaryota; Metazoa; Chordata; Aves; Anseriformes; Anatidae
Source: Ensembl
CCUCCAUCGUGCUGCAGAAGUGGUGGUGCCAGAUGGAGCCCUGCCUUGACGGGGAGGAGUGCAAGGUCCUGCCCGACCUCUCAGGCUGGAGCUGCAGCAGCGGCAACAAAGUGAAGACAACCAAGGUCACCCGAUAGCACCCCCGUGGGGGUCCCUGCUACAUUGCCUGUGCCGUGCCCGUGCUGUCCCGGAGCCAGGUGCGGCGUGCUGUGGUGCUCCCGUCCUGCAUCCCGCGCCGCCGUCAGACCAUGCCAGGAGUCGCCGUUACCCCAUCUCCAGGAUCCCGAAUCAGGGUCAGCACCAGGAGCUCAGAAGCUGGUGGCGGCGCGGAGUCGUCCCGGCGCGGCGCUGGGAGCGCGGUGCUGGCCCUGCAGAGGCUGCAGCCCCGGCGUGGCGGCGUGGCUGGUGCCGUCCGACACCUCCGGCACCGGAGAUGCAGGGAGAGAGAAGUAACCUCUGCCACCUCCAUCCCACUGCUGCCAUUCAGCUUGCUCCUGUCUGGCCAUUUGGUUUAUUGCUGCUUUUACAAUGGAUUCAAACAAGGACAAGAAAAAGUUUUGUCUUUUCCAGAAGCCACAAGAUUUUUCCUAGAAUCACCCCAGCUACAGAAAAGAUUCACCAUGCAUCUCCAGUGCCACAGUUCGGAAUGUAGAAAACCAGCCGGCGUAUCAGACCCAGAGCAGUGCGCCUCGUCCUGCUUCCAGGGGAAGGGACACGCAGCGGCUUCAGCACUGGUCCGGAGCCCCAGAGCCGUAAAGCAAGAGCUGCUCUGCGGAAAGCAUCCCCUGCACUGCCUGGCUGCUGCUCUGGCACGCUCCUGCCUGCGGGGCCAGAGCCACUGAAGGAUGCUCCUGGGAGAAGUGAUCUUUGCCAAGGCUCUCCUUUCUUCAACAGAAGGGUUUUUCCAGUUUUAAUCCAGGCCAGCAGCAAGAGGCUGCUGCCAGCCCUGUCCUGCCUGGCCGCGAUGCCCCAGCCCACGCAGCUUCGCUCUCCUCUUCCUCUCAGAGCGCGGGCAGGAGGCCCCUGGGUCUGCAUGUCCAGUGCCUGCAAAGCGGGGCUGGAGCCUGCUGUGCACAUCAGUGAAAGCGAGGGUAAUGCAGGACUGGUGAGGCUGGCCUGCAUGCGAACGUCAGACAUCCCUCCUGACUGCUGCCAACAGAAAACGGACAAAUUUGCACACCUCCGCUGCCCCCGAUGUGCUUUUCUCCCUGCUCCGCAUCCCCAGGCAGGGGCCACGGGCCCGCACGGGUAUCGCACCAGGCACGAUACCCCUACCUGGAAGGGAAAGCACAUGGCCACGGUCCUGCCGAGCUGCCAGAAGCGUGUCAUGAGCAGGGAGACACAGAAUUGAUUCAUCGGUAACAGGGCACGCUGCAUGGAGCCAGGAUCGAGUGACGAUCCUAUUAAAUACUUGUUGAUGCUUUCGUAUUAGUGGGCUCUAAGUCAAUCAAUUAUUUAAAUAGGAUGGGAACGAUGUCCCAUUAAUUUAAAUUAAUUAAAGGGGCUGAAAUCAUGUUGCAUUAAUAACAAUAAAAAAUAUUAUGGAUACUCA